RNAcentral lists this long non-coding RNA (1207 nucleotides) under Olea europaea (common olive). RNAcentral describes it as "long non-coding RNA (OEUR_LNC001232)". Lineage: Eukaryota; Viridiplantae; Streptophyta; Magnoliopsida; Lamiales; Oleaceae. The record is from RNAcentral.
AAUAAUUACAAUAAGUCAAGCUCAUCCAACUAUACAUAUUUCAUUUUAAAUCUUCCAAAACUCGUUUCCCCUUGCGCAUCUUUAUGUUAAGCAAAAUCUCCGAGUUCCUCUCCUCGGUUAUUUUUGCACACGUUUACACCAUAUGGGACAAAUUUAGAAAACUUGAAACUCAUUCCACUUGAUUCACCAUGCAAUAGAUACUCCUUGUCGGGCAAAACUUUAGAAAACUUGAAAAAUCAAUAAUCGCGGGUGCUACAAUGGACAAACUUCCCUUUAUUGUUGGAAUUCCUUUCAAUGUCAGAUUCCCCAUGUUCCUCCUGGCCAUUCCACACAGUCUGAAUCAAUUAACUCGCGUGCUGAGACAAAAAAAAAAUAAAAAAAUCCAUGUCAAUAAUCUAGUGGAUAGACUUCUAUGAGGUCCUAACAUCACAAAAAUGAAGCAUUCCAUUGCUUCAAUAAACUAAACUCAAGCAUUAUAAAUGUACACACAAAAAAUCCAUUCCAGACGAGAAAUUGUAUGAGAUCCUAACAUCACAAAAUUGAAUCAUUCCACAACUUCAACACUUAGCAGUAUCAAUGUACAAUAAAACCCAUUCCACACAACAAUUCGCUAACACCACAUAAAUGAAGCAUUUCACAACUUCAACAAACUAAAUUCAAGCAGUAUAAAUGUACACAUAAAAUCCAUUCCACACAAGAAUUCGUAUGAGGUCCUAACACCACAUAAAUGAAGCAUUCCACAACUUCAAUAAGCUAAACUCAAGCAGUAUAAAUGUACACACAAAACCCAUUCCACAACUUCAACAAGAUAAACUCAAGCAGUAUAAGUUGUCCAAACCCACUUUGUUUGAAAUGGAGUUUACCAAGUAUACUCACUGAGUCAUUGAUUUUUCAAAAUAGCAGGUAAAGCCCAAAGCUUUUCAGAGAUAAUACUAGUUGCAGUAUCCUUAUUAUAAUGUGUCACCAGUGAUGGGCGUGGGUGAUUCACAGUUGGAAACGGGGCAAGGUAAGGAAUUAGCGCCCUCAGUGUCUUUCACACUCGAAACGGAAAGUGAAUGGCUACUAACCUGGAGAGAGCUAUAUCUCAGGCGACCGUCUUUUCUUCGUCGGAGCUAUAUGUGCCAGUGAGAUUUCUUUAGUUGGACCUUGGAGGUGCAAAUCGGGAGAGAGGAGUGCAAGAUGAAGGGGAGAUAGUUUGACUUCGAGC